UACGAAGGGGGCUAGCGUUGUUCGGAAUCACUGGGCGUAAAGCGCACGUAGGCGGAUCCUUAAGUCAGGUGUGAAAUCCCGAGGCUCAACCUCGGAACUGCCUUUGAUACUGGGGAUCUUGAGUCCGGGAGAGGUGAGUGGAAUUGCGAGUGUAGAGGUGAAAUUCGUAGAUAUUCGCAAGAACACCAGUGGCGAAGGCGGCUCACUGGCACGGUACUGACGCUGAGGUGCGAAAGCGUGGGGAGCUAACAGG
RNAcentral lists this ribosomal RNA (253 nucleotides) under uncultured bacterium. RNAcentral's name for it is "partial 16S ribosomal RNA". It matches the Rfam family "Bacterial small subunit ribosomal RNA", at positions 524 to 776 of the family's 1533-position model. The record is from RNAcentral.